This 2925-nucleotide ribosomal RNA is filed under the name bacterium 1xD8-48. Its description in RNAcentral is "23S ribosomal RNA". It matches the Rfam family "Bacterial large subunit ribosomal RNA". The record is from RNAcentral.
GGUCAAGCGAAGAAGGGCGCGGGGCGGAUGCCUUGGCGCUGGGGGCCGAAGAAAGACGCGGCAAGCUGCGAAAAGCCACGGGGAGCGGCAGACACGCGAUAAUCCGUGGGUGUCUGAAUGGGGGAACCCGCACAGGAACACCCUGUGCGCCUGCAUGUAAAAAAGGGCAGCCUUAUAGGAUGCAGGCGGGAACCCGGUGAACUGAAACAUCUAAGUAGCCGGAGGAAAAGAAAGAAACAUCGAUUCCCCAAGUAGCGGCGAGCGAACGGGGAGGAGCCCAAACCGGUGUGCGUGCACACCGGGGUACGGGCUGCCACAGCAUACCAUAAAGCCUAACAGAACGGUACUGGAAAGACCGGCCGGAGAGGGUGAGAGCCCCGUAGGUGAAAGGCGGAAUGGAUGAGGCAGUACCAGAGUACCACGGGACACGUGAAAUCCUGUGGGAAGGAGCGGGGACCACCCCGCAAGGCUAAAUACCACCCAGCGACCGAUAGAGCACAGUACCGUGAGGGAAAGGUGAAAAGGACCCCGGGAGGGGAGUGAAAGAGAACCUGAAACCCCGCGUCCACAAGCUGUGGGAGCAUGAAAGAUGCGACCGUGUACUUUUUGUAGAACGGUCCGGCGAGCCACGGUGUCCGGCGAGGUUAAGCCAGUAGACUGGCGGAGCCGAAGUGAGAGCAAGCGUGAAGAGCGCACAGCCGGCGCAGCCGGCAGAAGAGUCAGGCACCGUGGGCCCGAAACCGGGUGACCUACCCGUGUCCAGGCUGAAGCCGCAGUAAAAGGCGGUGGAGGGCCGAACCCACGCCCGUUGAAAAGGGCGGGGAUGAGGUGCGGGUAGGGGAGAAAUUCCAAUCGAACCCGGAGAUAGCUGGUUCUCCCCGAAAUAGCUUUAGGGCUAGCCCCGUUUAUGCCUGCCGGAGGUAGAGCACUGAAUUUCCUAGGGGGCGUCAAAGCCUACCGAAGAAUAUCAAACUCCGAAUGCCGGAGAGGAAGAGGACGGGAGUCAGACUGCACGAGACAAGUCGGGCAGUCAAAAGGGAAAAAGCCCAGACCCGCGGCUAAGGCCCCAAAGUGCGUGUUAAGUGGGAAAGGAUGUGGGGUCUCAGGGACAGCUGGGACGUUGGCUCAGAAGCAGCCAUGCGUUAAAAGAGUGCGUAAUAGCUCACCAGCCGAGAGGCCCUGCGCCGAAAAUGUCCGGGGCUGAAACACGCCGCCGAAGCCCGGGGGCUGUACGUAAGGUAUGGCCGGUAGGGGAGCAUUGCCGGUGCGCGGAAGCCUUACCCGUAAGGGGAGGUGGAGUGCCGGGAAGAGAGAAUGCCGGAAUGAGUAGCGAGAUGGGGGUGGGAAUCCCCCAGGCCGGAUGUCCAAGGUUUCCGGGGUAAAGCUGAUCUUCCCCGGGGAAGUCGGGACCUAAGGCGAGGCCUGAGGGCGUAGCCGAUGGAUAACAGGUGGAGAAUCCUGUACUGCAUGGCAGCAGAAGAAAGCGGGGACGCGUCCCCGGAGGUUUGGCCGGGAGAGGGAAACCCGGUGCAAGCGCGGGAGGCGGCGCGGGGGAAAUACCGCGCGGGAGCCAGUAGCGUUAAGCGGAGCGAACCAAAGUAGCGAAGAAGCCGUAAGGGGCGCCAAGAAAAGCCGCUAUAGCCUGCCAUGUACCCGUACCGCAGACCGACACAGGCAGACAGGGAGAGAAUCCCAAGGCCGGCGGGAGAAGCGUUGUCAAGGAACUCGGCAAAAUGGCCCCGUAACUUCGGGAGAAGGGGCGCCUGCGCGAGCAGGCCGCAGAGAAGAGGCCCAAGCAACUGUUUAGCAAAAACACAGGUCUAUGCGAAGCCGGAAGGCGAGGUAUAUGGGCUGACGCCUGCCCGGUGCUGGAAGGUUAAGAGGAGAGGUCAGGGGAAACCCGAAGCCUUGAAUUUAAGCCCCAGUAAACGGCGGCCGUAACUAUAACGGUCCUAAGGUAGCGAAAUUCCUUGUCGGGUAAGUUCCGACCCGCACGAAAGGCGUAAUGAUUUGGGCGCUGUCUCGACAACGCACCCGGUGAAAUUGAAGUGCCAGUGAAGAUGCUGGCUACCCGCGCCAGGACGGAAAGACCCCAUGGAGCUUUACUCCAGCUUGACGCUGGGGCCCGGCGCUGUAUGUACAGGAUAGGCGGGAGGCAAUGAAGUAAGGACGCAAGCCCUUAUGGAGCCGACGUUGGGAUACCGCCCUUGCAGUGUCAGGUUUCUAACCUUCGGCAGUGAGCCUGCCGGGGGACAACGUCUGGCGGGGAGUUUGACUGGGGCGGUCGCCUCCGAAAGGGUAUCGGAGGCGCUCGAAGGUCCCCUCAGGAUGGACGGGAACCAUCCACAGAGUGCAAAGGCAGAAGGGGGCCUGACUGCGACACCGACGGGUGGGGCAGGCAGGAAACUGGGACUUAGUGAUCCGGUGGCAUUAAGUGGGAUUGCCAUCGCUCAACGGAUAAAAGCUACCCUGGGGAUAACAGGCUGAUCACCCCCAAGAGUUCACAUCGACGGGGUGGUUUGGCACCUCGAUGUCGGCUCAUCGCAUCCUGGGGCUGAAGCGGGUCCCAAGGGUUGGGCUGUUCGCCCAUUAAAGCGGUACGCGAGCUGGGUUCAGAACGUCGUGAGACAGUUCGGUCCCUAUCCGGCGCGGGCGCAGGAUGUUUGAGGGGAGCCGCCCUUAGUACGAGAGGACCGGGGCGGACGGGCCGCUGGUGUACCUGUUGGGGACCAACCCCACGGCAGGGUAGCCAAGCCCGGAGCGGAUAAACGCUGAAGGCAUCUAAGCGUGAAGCCGUCCUCAAGAUGAGACAUCCGGAGCGUAAGCUGAAGGCCCCUUGGAGAGUACGAGGUGGAUAGGCCCGGGGUGGAAGCGCUGAGAGGCGUGCAGCUGACGGGUACUAAUAGGCCGGAAGCUUGACCAAAA